Molecule: long non-coding RNA, 660 nt
Organism: Anthonomus grandis grandis
Lineage: Eukaryota; Metazoa; Arthropoda; Insecta; Coleoptera; Curculionidae
Exons: 3
Source: RefSeq, a predicted model, not a curated record
AAAAAAUCAAUUUUUGGUGAAAAAAUUCGAUACGGGGGGUAUACCCGAUAAAUGAAAAAUUCCAAACUUUGAAGUUCGAUAUCUCGGCUUCUAUUGGAGCUAUCGGGAAAAAUCCAACGGGUUUGUCUUAGUUUUGUCGUUCUGAAUCCAACGAGACCAUCCGCAAGGUCGUAGCUCUUCUAAUAGCUGAGAUAUGGCAUUUUUGAUGCCCAUUUUUGGCCUCAAAAACGGACGUCGAAAACGACUUUUUCACGAUUUUCAAAGUGCUCUCAUUCCCUUAAUUCUGCUCGGAUCCUGUUAUAACCCGGUGUUUUCAUAAUCUAGGUGACCCAAAUAAGGCGCUGGUAUACUUAGUUUGAUUUCGAAAAAAAUCAAUUUUUGGUGAAAAAAUUCGAUACGGGGGGGUAUACCCGAUAAAUGAAAAAUUCCAAACUUUGAAGUUCGAUAUCUCGGCUUCUAUUGGAGAUAUCGGGAAAAUUCCAGCGGUUUUGUCUUAGUUUCGUCGUUCUGAAUCCAACGAGACCAUCCGCAAGGUCGUAGCUCUUCUAAUAGCUGAGAUAUGGCAUUUUUGAUGCCCAUUUUUGGCCUCAAAAACGGACGUCGAAAACGACUUUUUCACGAUUUUCAAAGUGCUCUCAUUCCCUUAAUUCUGCUCGGAUC